AUGGGUCUUCCGCGGCGGGGCCCUCCUCGGGCGAGGCGACCCAGAGCAACAAGGCCGAGGUGGGCAGGGUGCUGCGCAGGAUGUGCGCGACGUCCUGGUCCCAGAUGCGCCGCCACGUCCUGCCUGGCGCUACCACCCUGGGCAGUGGCCGCACCUAGCCAUCGCUCCCGCGGCACUGGGGUCCUGCGCUGGGGGGGCUCCUGGGGCCCCACCAUUGGGCCUGCGGACCAAGCUGAGGUGGGGCAGGUAGGAGCAGCGCUUGACCACCUCCGGCCGCACGGGGGCGCGCACGGGCAGGCGCGAAGGGCUUUUGGAGCUGGUGCGCCAGGGCGCGCGCGGGCGUGGGCCGGGGCCGGGACCGGACCCUGGCCGGGUCGCCUGCUGCCCGGGGGCCGCCCUCAGCUCGCCGCAGCGCGAAGAGCAGAGGAAGACGGCGGGGAGCGCGGGCCGGCCGCGGCGGGGCGACGCGUCCUGGGAGGUGGAGGCGGAGUCGGACAGCAGCUCCGUGCGCCAGCGACGCAGCAAGCCGGGCGACUCCUUGAUGACGAAAACAGAGCAAGACCUUCCAGAAACAUCUGUGCUGAGAGGUCAGCAUCCUGGAGGAGACCCUGCUGCCCACAUAUUUAGAAUCUCGGGGGAAUCAGGUCCCAGUGUAGAAGGAAGGAGGAACUGAGGAAGGAGGACACAGGGCUGCCUCCACACAGCUGCCCAGGGAUGGCUCCAGGGCCACGAAGUCGCUGCAAGCAGGUAAGGGGCCAGGUGUGGGGGGGUCCCGGGUGCCAGGGAGGGGGCUGGGCUUUGGGCUCCUGGGUGCCAUGAGGGGGCUGGGCGGUGGGGGUCCUGGUGCCAGGGUUGGAGCCGGGCAUCAGGGGUCAUGGGUGCCAGGGAGGGGGCAGAACGAUGGAGGUCCCAGGUGUCAAGGAUGGGGCCAGGAGGGAGCUGGGCGCUGGGGGUCCCAGGUACCAGGGAGGGGGCUGGGUGCAGGGGGUCCAGGGUGCCAGGGAGGGGGCCAGGCAUCAAGGGUCCUGGGUGCCAGGGAGGGGGCCAGAUGUUGGGGUACUGGGUGCCAGGGAAGGGGCUGGGCAUCUGAGGUCCCAAGUGACAGGGAGGGGCGGGCCUUGGGGGUCCCAGGUGCCAAGGAUGGGGCCAGGCUUCGGGGAUCCUGGUGCCCAAAAGGGAGCCGGGCGAUGGGGGUCCCAGGUACCAGAGAAGAGGCUGGGCGUCUGGGGUCCGGGGUGCCAGGGAGGGGGCCAGUUGUCAGGGGUCCCGGGUGCCAAGGAGGAGGCCAGAUGUUGGGGUCCCAGGUGCCAGGGAAGGGGUCAGGUGUCAGGGGUCCUGGGUAGCAGGGAGGGGGCAUGGAGUCAGAGGUCUUGAAUGACAGGAAGGGGCCAGGCAUCAGGGGUCAUGGGUGCCAGGGAGGGGGUCGAGGGUCUUGGGUGCCAGGGAGGGGUCACGCAUUGUGGACCGGUUGACAGGGAGGGUCCAGGUGUCAGGCGUCCCAGGUGCCAGGAAAGAGGCUGGGCUUUGGGGUCCCAGGUGUCAGGGAAGGGGCCUGGGGUCACGAGUCCCGGGUGCCAGUAACAGGGCCAGGCAUCUGGGGUCCCGAGUGACAGGGAGGGGCCGGGCG
This 1627-nucleotide long non-coding RNA is filed under the name Oryctolagus cuniculus (rabbit). RNAcentral's name for it is "lncRNA (ENSOCUG00000032047.1)". Lineage: Eukaryota; Metazoa; Chordata; Mammalia; Lagomorpha; Leporidae. The record is from RNAcentral.